GAUGAACGCUGACAGAAUGCUUAACACAUGCAAGUCAACUUGAACUUCGGUUUGGGUGGCGGACGGGUGAGUAACGCGUAAAGAACUUGCCUCACAGAUAGGGACAACAUUUGGAAACGAAUGCUAGUACCUGAUAUUAUGAUUAUAUGGCAUCGUAUAAUUAUGAAAGCUAUAUGCGCUGUGAGAGAGCUUUGCGUCCCAUUAGCGAGUUGGAGAGGUAACGGCUCACCAAGGCGAUGAUGGGUAGCCGGCCUGAGAGGGUGAUCGGCCACAAGGGGACUGAGACACGGCCCUUACUCCUACGGGAGGCAGCAGUGGGGAAUAUUGGACAAUGGACCAAGAGUCUGAUCCAGCAAUUCUGUGUGCACGAUGAAGUUUUUCGGAAUGUAAAGUGCUUUCAGUUGGGAAGAAAAAAAUGACGGUACCAACAGAAGAAGUGACGGCUAAAUACGUG
This 454-nucleotide ribosomal RNA is filed under the name uncultured bacterium. Its description in RNAcentral is "partial 16S ribosomal RNA". It matches the Rfam family "Bacterial small subunit ribosomal RNA", at positions 28 to 507 of the family's 1533-position model. The record is from RNAcentral.